UACGAAGGGGGCUAGCGUUGUCCGGAAUUAUUGGGCGUAAAGGGCUCGUAGGCGGUCUGUUACGUCGGGAGUGAAAACUCAGGGCUCAACCCUGAGCCUGCUUCCGAUACGGGCAGACUAGAGGUAUGCAGGGGAGAAUGGAAUUCCUGGUGUAGCGGUGAAAUGCGCAGAUAUCAGGAGGAACACCGGUGGCGAAGGCGGUUCUCUGGGCAUUACCUGACGCUGAGGAGCGAAAGUGUGGGGAGCGAACAGG
This 253-nucleotide ribosomal RNA is filed under the name uncultured bacterium. RNAcentral's name for it is "partial 16S ribosomal RNA". It matches the Rfam family "Bacterial small subunit ribosomal RNA", at positions 524 to 776 of the family's 1533-position model. The record is from RNAcentral.